Molecule: ribosomal RNA, 422 nt
Filed under: uncultured bacterium
Lineage: Bacteria
Description: bacterial SSU rRNA
Rfam family: Bacterial small subunit ribosomal RNA
Source: RNAcentral
UGAGGAAUAUUGGUCAAUGGACGCAAGUCUGAACCAGCCAUGCCGCGUGCAGGAAGACGGCUCUACGAGUUGUAAACUGCUUUUACACGGGAAUAAUUGCAGAUACGUGUAUCUGUUUGAAUGUACCGUAUGAAUAAGCACCGGCUAACUCCGUGCCAGCAGCCGCGGUAAUACGGAGGGUGCAAGCGUUAUCCGGAUUUAUUGGGUUUAAAGGGUGCGUAGGCGGAGAUAUAAGUCAGUGGUGAAAUCUUGCAGCUUAACUGUAAAAUUGCCAUUGAUACUGUGUUUCUUGAGUACAGUUGAGGUAGGCGGAAUGUGUAAUGUAGCGGUGAAAUGCUUAGAUAUUACACAGAACACCGAUUGCGUAGGCAGCUUACUAAACUGUAACUGACGCUGAGGCACGAAAGCGUGGGGAGCGAACA